RNAcentral lists this long non-coding RNA (296 nucleotides) under Brassica napus (rape). RNAcentral's name for it is "long non-coding RNA (BNAP_LNC014095)". The record is from RNAcentral. Lineage: Eukaryota; Viridiplantae; Streptophyta; Magnoliopsida; Brassicales; Brassicaceae.
CGAUAUCGACAAAACUCGUUAUUCUAAGAUCAAGAACCUGCUCGAGUGAUGCGACCAUGUGAAUGUAUUUUUUCCUCGGCAAACUCUUUAAAAACUUCUUAACAAGUUUUGACUCUUCUAUUGUCUCUCCUAAGGAGGCAGAUUUUGAAGAGAUUUCUGAAAGCUUGCCGACGAAGGUAUCAAUCGUAUCACUAUCCUUCAUCUUAAUUCUAUCAAACUCUGCCAUUAGAGUUUGUAGUCUAGCUUCUUUAACUCGUUCAGCUCCAACGUGUCUUGCUUUAAUUGCAUCCCACACU